Molecule: long non-coding RNA, 398 nt
Organism: Herpailurus yagouaroundi (jaguarundi)
Lineage: Eukaryota; Metazoa; Chordata; Mammalia; Carnivora; Felidae
Exons: 3
Source: RefSeq, a predicted model, not a curated record
AAUUCCAUUUAUUUAGGUAUGAUUUAGUGUUUUUCUUUUUUUUUUAAUAAAAAAAUUGUAUUUACUUAGAAGCAUUCAGAAUGUCAACAAAACAGCUACAACUUUUUUUUUUUUUUGCAAUUACAGAGUGGUAUUCAGUUAACAGAACAACAAUUAUUUCGUAUAAGCUGCAUCAGAGACAACUGAAGAUGAAAAAACUACCAUCCCCAUAUAUAACUAAUUUGUGCUGUGCACCAACAAGAACCUGCCUUAAAUUUCCAUGCCAAUUUACAACCCCCAUACUGUACCAGGCAAGGUUAGUGGCUAUUGGAAAUACCACCAGGACAGGGCUAUCUAAAGACACAUUUGGUAGUGUGUUAACUAUACAAAAAAAGACACUGCACACGUCUGAACUCAAG